UACGUAGGGUGCGAGCGUUAAUCGGAAUUACUGGGCGUAAAGCGUGCGCAGGCGGCUAUUUAAGCUUGCUGUGAAAGCCCCGGGCUUAACCUGGGAACUGCAGUGAGGACUGGAUGGCUGGAGUGUGGCAGAGGGGGGUGGAAUUCCACGUGUAGCAGUGAAAUGCGUAGAGAUGUGGGGGAACACCGAUGGCGAAGGCAGCCCCCUGGGCUAACACUGACGCUCAGGCACGAAAGCGUGGGGAACAAACAGG
RNAcentral lists this ribosomal RNA (253 nucleotides) under uncultured bacterium. Its description in RNAcentral is "partial 16S ribosomal RNA". It matches the Rfam family "Bacterial small subunit ribosomal RNA", at positions 524 to 776 of the family's 1533-position model. The record is from RNAcentral.